RNAcentral lists this ribosomal RNA (328 nucleotides) under Protodrilus sp. 9 MDD-2014. RNAcentral describes it as "partial 16S ribosomal RNA". It matches the Rfam family "Bacterial large subunit ribosomal RNA", at positions 1950 to 2524 of the family's 2925-position model. The record is from RNAcentral. Lineage: Eukaryota; Metazoa; Annelida; Polychaeta; Protodrilidae.
GCAAAGGUAGCAUAAUCAUUUGCCCCUUAAUUAGGGGCUGGCAUGAAGGGACAAACUCUAUUGUUCUGCUCCGGAAGUACAAAGAAAACUUAUCUCUAGAUGAAGAAUUCUAGAUUCAAAGGAAGGACCAAAAGACCCUAUAGAGCUUGAUGUCUAAGAAAAACUCAUUACAGAACACGUUUCAUUGGGGCGAUGAACCUCUAAAUACGAUCUUGAACCACUUCUACCACUCCUUCCACAUAGACCCUAGAGAGAAAAAGAAAAAGCUACCUUAGGGAUAACAGUCUAAUUUUUUCUAUUAGCCCACAUUAAAGAAAAAGAUUGGCAC